RNAcentral lists this transfer RNA (68 nucleotides) under Trissolcus basalis. RNAcentral's name for it is "tRNA-Asn". The record is from RNAcentral. Lineage: Eukaryota; Metazoa; Arthropoda; Insecta; Hymenoptera; Scelionidae.
UUAAUUGAAACCAAAAUUAGAGGUAAAUUAUUGUUAAUAAUUUUAAUGAAUUUAAAAUUCCAAUUAUU